CACGAUCAAUGGACCCUUCGCCCCAAUAGCGGCGACCUGACGCGUGUCAUGCAGAAGGCGACUCGGCAUUGGCCAAAGCAGCUGCAUACCAGUUCGCUCCCAAUCAGUUGGAUCCGUCUCCAAUGCCCGAGCCUUCUGCUCCGCCUCGUCGAGCCUGAGAAUCGCUUUCCUUCUUUUCGAUUUUAGCCUGGCGACUUCUUCUUCCAACUCGUCCAAACGGAUGUCGAUCUUUCUUUUCUUCAGACGAAAGAAUUGCAGAUCCCUGCACUGUUCUUGAUAAAGGCCCCCGACCUAACAAAAAAAAAAGACAGUUGUUUAGAUCCCCCAAAAAUAGGAUACCAAUGUUCGCAUGAACGGAACGGUACCGAUACCUUCUUAACAAACGCCUCGGCCUCAUCUGAUUCGGCUUUACUGGCCAAGGUGCCUAUGAGAAAUGCCUUCACACCCGACGGUGUAAAUUCGAGGCAUCGUGGGAUCCCUAGGAUGGGUGGUGCAUUCCGGUUAGCUUCAACAUCCCGCAUACAUUACUCGAAGUAGGCGUAAAGGCUUGUCAGCAUCGGAGCUAUGCGCCCAAACCCAAAGGGAAUCCAGUUUCUCGGGUG
This 602-nucleotide long non-coding RNA is filed under the name Capsella grandiflora. Its description in RNAcentral is "long non-coding RNA (CGRA_LNC001317)". The record is from RNAcentral. Lineage: Eukaryota; Viridiplantae; Streptophyta; Magnoliopsida; Brassicales; Brassicaceae.